This 535-nucleotide long non-coding RNA is filed under the name Phoenix dactylifera (date palm). Its description in RNAcentral is "long non-coding RNA (PDAC_LNC022299)". Lineage: Eukaryota; Viridiplantae; Streptophyta; Magnoliopsida; Arecales; Arecaceae. The record is from RNAcentral.
CAAGAUAAACUAAAUUCUGAAAAUGAAACCUUACGGUCAAACUCAGAACAAUUGAUCCAGAAAAAUCAGAACCUAAUUAAAGAAAAUCAAAACUUAAGCAAAGAAAUUAACCAAUUAAGAUCUGUUAUUAACAAAUUCACUGUAAGUUCAGAAAGAUUAAAAAUGAUGUUUGAAAGCCAACAUGCUGAUUUUGAUAAAUCAAAAUUUAGCUUGACUCCUUCACUUAGCCAUAAAUCUCUAGAGAAAAAUGGUUAUCAAUUUACCAAGCAAACCAUUAAAUAAGAUAACUUAUUUCAAAAAUGAAAAGGAUGGGAAUAACAACUUUACCCAUCGUUCUAGUAUAAUUAAAUCAAAUGGUAAAGUUAUUACUAUUAAACAGAUAUGGGUUCCAAAAGGAACCAUAUGUCCUAACUCUCAAGGACUCAAGCAAGCUUGGGUACCCAAAAUGAGAAAAUGAGGAUGUACACAUAGGUGUACCAAGGUACCCAUGGAACAUAAAGAAACUUAAAAUGUUAUUAACAAAAAAAUAAUAAUG